AGCAGCCGCGGUAAUUCCAGCUCCAAUAGCGUAUAUUAAAGUUGUUGCAGUUAAAAAGCUCGUAGUUGAAUUUCGGGAUCAAUUAGUCGGUCGUGCCUCUGGUACGUACUGGUUUUAUUGGUUCCUCCCUUCUGACGAAACAUGAUGUCAUUAAUUUGGUGUCGUGGAGAAUCAGGACUGUUACCUUGAAAAAUUAGAGUGUUUAUAGCAGGCUAACGCUUGAAUACAUUAGCAUGGAAUAAUGAAAUAGGACGUUCGACCCUAUUUUGUUGGUUUCUAGGAUCGACGUAAUGAUUAAUAGGGAUAGUUGGGGGCAUUAGUAUUCAAUUGUCAGAGGUGAAAUUCUUGGAUUUAUUGAAGACUAACUACUGCGAAAGCAUUUGCCAAGGAUGUUUUCAUUAAUCAAGAACGAAAGUUAGGGGAUCGAAGACGAUCAGAUACCGUCGUAGUCUUAACCAUAAACUAUGCCGACUAGGGAUCGGAUGAUGUUAAUUUUUUAAUGACUCAUUCGGCGCCUUAA
Molecule: ribosomal RNA, 520 nt
Filed under: uncultured Glomus
Lineage: Eukaryota; Fungi; Glomeromycota; Glomeromycetes; Glomerales; Glomeraceae
Description: SSU rRNA
Rfam family: Eukaryotic small subunit ribosomal RNA
Source: RNAcentral